RNAcentral lists this ribosomal RNA (462 nucleotides) under Blastocystis sp. subtype 5. RNAcentral's name for it is "SSU rRNA". It matches the Rfam family "Eukaryotic small subunit ribosomal RNA", at positions 505 to 980 of the family's 1831-position model. The record is from RNAcentral. Lineage: Eukaryota; Bigyra; Opalinata; Blastocystidae.
UGCAUUGGAUUGAGACAAUGUACAAAUGUUAUCGAUAAACAAUUGGAGGGCAAGUCUGGUGCCAGCAGCCGCGGUAAUUCCAGCUCCAAUAGCGUAUAUUAACGUUGUUGCAGUUAAAAAGCUCGUAGUUGAAAUGUGGGAUGAAGUAUAUAAUGAAUUUCUAAUUCAAUUGUAUAUUGAUUCCCCUCUCCAAUUUAUUAUUAUGGGUAUUAAUUUAUUUGUAAUAAGAAUUGGUCAUUUACUGUGAGAAAAUUAGAGUGUUCAAAGCAGGCAUUUGCUUGAAUAGAUUAGCAUGGAAUAAUACUAAAAGGCUUUUAUGGUCGAUUUAAUUGGUUUGUUCAUAAAAGCAAGAUUAAAAGGAACAGUUGGGGGUAUUCAUAUUCAAUAGUUAGAGGUGAAAUUCUCGGAUUUAUGGAAGAUGAACGUUUGCCCAAAAGAAAAUUUUAUUAUUUUUUAGAUACA